CCCUUAGACGUUCUGGGCCGCACGCGCGCUACACUGACCAGUGCAACAAGCAUCCGUCCUUGGCCGACAGGCCCGGGCAAUCUUUGAACGCUGGUCGUGAUGGGGAUAGACUUUUGCAAUUUUUGGUCUUCAACGAGGAAUUCCUAGUAAACGCAAGUCAUCAGCUUGCAUUGAUUACGUCCCUGCCCUUUGUACACACCGCCCGUCGCACCUACCGAUUGAAUGGUCCGGUGAAAUCUCGGGACGGCGGCUUGGUCGCUUGCGUCCGACUGCUGAAACUUGAUUAAACCAUAUCAUUUAGAGGAAGGUGAANUCGUANCA
RNAcentral lists this ribosomal RNA (321 nucleotides) under uncultured eukaryote. Its description in RNAcentral is "partial 18S ribosomal RNA". It matches the Rfam family "Eukaryotic small subunit ribosomal RNA", at positions 1470 to 1796 of the family's 1831-position model. The record is from RNAcentral.